RNAcentral lists this long non-coding RNA (5615 nucleotides) under Homo sapiens (human). Its description in RNAcentral is "HSALNT0034935". Lineage: Eukaryota; Metazoa; Chordata; Mammalia; Primates; Hominidae. The record is from RNAcentral.
CGUGAACCCGGGAGGCGGAGCUUGCAGUGAGCCGAGAUCGCGUCCAGACCUGGGUGACAGAGCGAGACUCCCUCUCAAAAAAAAAAGAAAAGCAAGCUCUCAUCACCCCAGCCUCCUGGGGCUUGUAGGAUGAAAUGUAACUUUAAGGCCCAACGUGCUUUUCCAGCAUACGGACUCUUCCUGCCAGCGCACCCUGGGCUUCCUUGUACUGUAUUAAUUCCUGCCCCUGUGCCUUUGUGCAUACUCUUCCUUCUGCUUAGGUGGAGCAUAGGAAAGUAAAGUCAAAAUUCGGGUUCCCUGUACUCCUGUAAGCCUUCCCUGCCUCCCUUAGGCAAACCAGUAAUUUCCUAACUUCCUCCUCUGCUCACUCAUGUCGUGCUGUAAUUUUUAAUUCGUUUUCAUCUUUUUUCUCAACUAGACUCCUCAAAGGCAGCGACCACAUUGUUCUUUGUCUCUGGGAUCCAGUAGUGUUGAAUGAGCUGCUAUCAUCUCUUCUCGAGAUGUGGAGUGAUCUUGGCUCCUCACUAUCAUACUCCCUUAUGUGGUCCUUUGUACUGACCUGAGCAAUAAUGAUGCUGAAGGCCCCACUGUUCGCUGCCAGCCCACAGAGAAGAAGUCUAUGCCAGAGAACGAGUGACCAGAAGAGGCUAUGCUCACAGAAGUCAGAGAAGCAGAGUCUUCAGGAAGGGAGAACAUCGGUGUCCACCAAGCAGAGAUACCUCAUGAGAUAGAUUGAAGUGUGGCCCCUGGAUUUCAGAAAUGGAUGUCAUCUGUCCAUGGAGGAGUAGGGUAAGAAGCUGCAUUGCAGUAGGCUGAAGGGUGUCCUUGGAAGCCUAGAAACUGACAGUAGCUAUAGAUGACUUCUAGAAGAUGAGCUGAAAUAAGAAUGUGAAACAAACUCAACCACUAGGAAUCAAAUCCAAAUUAAAAGGAGACACCAUUUCACCUCUUAAAUUGGCAGAAAAAUACUUUUAAUAAUACUUGAUAAUGAGGAUGUCAAGAAAGGAAUAUGACUUGUUACAAGCAUUCCAAAUGGGAUUUUAUGGUAGGUUUCAAGAGCAAUAGAUUUUUGCCCAUUCUUUGCCAUAGUAAUCCCAGCUCAACUCAGUCUAUUUAAGUAAUUACUGAUAGAUGCAAAGAUUUUAGACACAAGAAUGUUUAUCACAGUGUUCUUUUUAAUAUUUAAAAUUGAAAACCUAUAAAUUAUUGUCUAUCCAAACCAAAAGCAGCAACUAAAAAUGGGUAAUGAACUAGAAAUAUGAUGUGUUUUUAGUGAAAAAAGCAGGUUACAAAACAUUCUUUUCUAAAUUAUGUAUGUACAGCCUGAUGUCAUUAUUGUUUUUGUUUUUUUGAGACUGGGUCUUGCUCUGUCAUCCAGGCUGGAGUACAGUGGCAUGAUCAUGGCUCACUGCAGCCUCGACCUCCCAGGUUCAAGCGAUCCUCCCACCCUCACUCUCCUGAGUAGCUGAGCCUACAGGCAUGUACCACCAGGCCCAGCUAAUUUUAAGUUUUUUUUUUUUUUUUAGAGUUGAGGUCUUGCUAUGUUGCUCAUGCUGGUCUCAAAUUCCUGGCAUCAAAUGAUCCUCCCACCUCAGCCUCCCGAAGUGCUGGGAUUACAGGCGUGAGCCAUGGCACCUGUCCUCAUUUUUUAUUUUUAAUAAAACAUGUAAAGAUUGGAUGGCUAUCAGAGUCAAUAUGGUUAUGGGGGUAUAAUAUGGAUGAUGUAUUUUUUUUUAUGUUACCCAGGUUUGUUAUAUGGUAUAUAGCAUGAUGCUGAGGUUUGGGGUGUGAAUGAUUAUAUCACUCAGGCACUAAGCAUUGUACCCAGAAGGUAGGUUUUCAGCCCUUGACUCACUCCCUCUCUCUUCCAUCUAGUAGUCCCCAAUAAAUACAUAUUUAUUGAGUCUUCUGGGUCCACUGAGGACACAAUCAUGAAAAAGAAAACUAUGUCCCCAUCCUGGAGGUGUUUACAUUCUGGUGACAAAACUAAUUGAAGCAGUUCUGAUUGAUGUUUUGAGAGCUUAUGAUAAGAAGCUUGGCAGAGGCCGGGCAUGGUGGCUCACACCUGUAAUCCCAGCACUUUGGGAGGCUGAGGCAGGUGGAUCACUUGAGGUCAGGAGUUGAAGACCAGCCUGGCCAACAUGUGAAACCCUGUCUCUACUAAAAAUAACAAAAAUUAGCUGGGCGUCAUGGCACACUCCUGUAAUCCCAGCUACUUGGGAGGCUGAGGCAGGAGGGUCACUUGAGCCCAGGAGCUGGAGGUUGCAGUGAGCCAAGACUGUGCCACCACUCAACAGAGUGAGACUCCGUCUCAAAAAAAAAAAAAAAAAAAAAAAAAAAAAAAGCUUGUCAGAGAAAUAAAUGAGAAAUUAAAAGAUGGUAAGUGGAGGCCCCAGAGUGAAGGGAAGUGUUUUUGGUUUUAGGAAUAGGAGAGUCUAGUGUGUUUAGAGGUUUAGGGGAAGGAUCCAGGAGAGGCAGCAGAGAACUGAAGGGUGUAUGUGUGUGUGGAGCAGGGAGGUGGGGGUGGUGAGGGUGGGAGAUGGAGGGGAGAAGGAGCCCAGAUAAAUUUAGCUUCCACCAGGAGCAGGAUGCCUCUUCCUCUGCUGGUGCUAUAGGAAGGUUGCCAAUGGGCCGGGUGCGGUGGCUCAUGCCUGUAAUCCUAGCACUUUGAGAGCCCAAGGUAGGUGUAUCACGAGGUCAGGAGUUCAAGACCAGCCUGGCCAGUAUGGUGAAACCCUGUCUCUACUAAGAAAAUACAAAAAUUGGCCAGUGACGGUGGCUCGCACCUGUAAUCCCAGCACUUUGGGAGGCCGAGGCGCGUAGAUCAGGAGGUCAGGAGGUCAGGAUUUCAAGACCAGCCUGGCCAAGAUGGUGAAACCCCAUCUCUACUAAAAAUACAAAAAUUAGCUGGGCAUGGUGGCUCGCGCCUGUAGUCCCAUCUACUCAGGAGGCUGAGGCAGGAGAAUCGCUUGAACCCGGGAGGUGGAGGUUGCAGUGAGCCGAGAUCGUGCCACUGCACUCCAGCCUGAGAGACAGAGUGAGACUCUGUCAAAAAAGAAAAAUUGCCAGUGGAGAUAAAGGUGUCCAUUUGGGUAGGUCAGGAAGCUGUGGUAUUCAUGCCUCAUGGCCUUCAUUUUCUUAGAGCGUAGGGUAAAAUCAUGCCAUUUUUUGCCUCUGUGCCUCAUAAGUUUGUACUCCUUCCUCCUUUAAAAAUCAGCUGUAAGAGCUGGAUGUGCUGUAAGGGCUGGACGUGGUGGCACAUGCCUGUAGUUCCUACUUGGGAAGCUGAGAUGGGAGGACCACUUGAGUCCGGGAGGUUGAGGCUGCAGUGAGCUAUGAUUGCACCACUGCUCUCCAGCCUGGGUGACAGAGCAACACCUUGUCUCUUGGGAAAAAAAAAAAAAAAAAAAAUCAGCUCCAGACCCCUGCCUUUGUGAACCUUUUCUUGAAGGAAAGAGUGUGGGUUGGGGCCACUUCCAGUGGAAUCACCAGGAGGGGAGUGGAGGGAGGAGGGAAGGUGCUCAGAAUAAACAUUCAAUGUCCCUGAGCAUUCCUAGAUCAACCGGAUCAGGAUCUCUGAAGGAUGGGGCUCAAAGAUUGGCAUUUGAAAGAACACCCGUGGGGAUCCUGAUGGUGCAAUAAAGUUGUAGAACCACCUCACUAAGUGCUCCCAAUUCCUUUUACAAUUCUCUAUUAUUGCAAUUUAAUCCUUUCACUUCCCCCACUGGGCUGCCCUUGGGCAGGAGUAGGUGUCUUUGUUUACAUACUUGUAGCACAGCCCUGCAGUUGGCUAUCAUAGUGGGCUUUGGGUGCUUAUUUGUGAAAUGAAUGAUGUGUACAAAACUGGAACCCAGAUGUCCUGAUUCCCAGACUCAUAAUUUGCUCUAUCACAUUUUAUCUCUAGAAGCUGCUGAAUUCCUCAGGAAGGCAUUUCCUGGUCCAACUGUGCCUAAAACUCAUAUGCCAAUUUAAAAAGCACAAAUCCACAUAGAAAGAUUCUCUGAAGAAGGAGACAGUGUAUGGGGGAUUGGUUGCUCUAAGGAAGAUUAGAAAAUGAGGUCACCUGAAAGUGAAGGGAGCGGGAUGCACACAAAGUAACAAGCCCCUGGAGCAGGUCUGUUCCAAGUGUGUCACCCAGGUCUCCCCCAAAAACCAUCAAGGAGUUAGAAACAUACUGUGGAAAAGAUCCCUAGAAUGUAACAGUUAAGAAGCUGGAUGCUCAGGAGGUAAUGAGUCAUAGAAUGCUUGUGUGUGGACUGCAUGGAAUCCAGAAAAGGGGAAGCCAUAGGUUAGAAAUUAUAGCGUCUCAGCUGGGCACGGUGGCUCACGCCUGUAAUCCUAGCUCUUUGGGAGGCUGAGGUGGGUGGAUCACCUGAGGUCAGGAGUUCGAGACCAGCCUAGCCAACAUGGCUUCACCGUCUCUACUGAAAAUACAAAAAUUAGCCAGCGUGGUGGCGGACGCCUAUAAUCCCAGCUAUUCAGGAGACUGAGGCAGGAGAAUCGCCUGAACCCGGUGGGGUGGAGGUUGCAGUGAGCCAAGAUCGCGCCACUUCAUUCCAGCCUGGGUGAAAAAGCAAAACUCUUGUCUCAAAAAAAAAAAAAAAAAAGAAGAAGCAAUUAGAAUUUAUAGAGUUGUUGUAAUAUCCAAAGGUAUAGAUGCUCUGAUACCACUGGGUAGUGCUGUUAAUUUAGAAAGAACUGGUCCAAAAGAAUGCGAAUUCAUCUUAGGAGAAAUGGGUGUUUCCACUAAGAACAGCUCAUCCCUUUUCUUUAAUCAUUUAGUAACUCUUUAUAGAUUACCUCCAAUGUGUCAGGGGCUGUAUUCACUGUGUCUUGCCGGAGAUAUGACAGUGGGCAAAACAGGUACAGGACGUACCCUUGAGAACUCACAGUAUUAUUCUUGUUUAUUCAUCAGGUUUCUAACCUGUAAUUUGAUAUGCUUUGUGGAUUUGCCUGGCACUCUGAGCAAAUGACCAAAACCAAUUAUUCUGCCAGGUAGGCCUCUGUUCUCACGUUAAUAACAUUCUAGUUGUGAGUCAUUUAUGACUUCGAUGAGAGAGUAUAAAACAAACAGUUCCAUUAGGGGUUGGUUUUUCCCUGGACAAAUGGGUACAGAGCUGGGCCUGCUGAUGAGCUCAGCAAGAAGUCCCCACCCUGGGAAGCCCUGCCAACUGCCAGCACCUUGUAUUCAGCAGGCUCUCAGCCACACACAGGCUAAGUCACAGCCCCUGGCCCCAUUAGGAAUGUGUGUAUCCUUUCCUGCCUGAAUGGCCCACUGAGAGGUCGUUGGGAAAAUUCUUGGAGCGUCGGAUUCCUGGAUGUCUUGAAUUCCAAAGAGCUUGAAUCAGCACAAAGCUUAGGGCCCAGGGCUGUAUUUUAAAGGAAGACGCAGCAGGGGCAGGUGAUGGUAAAUAGAGGAGAGUGAACAUGGCGGGAACAGACUUCAGGCUGCACCUGUGACUGAGGACAGCCCCCAAAUUCUUAGUUCUGAGAGAAACCCCUGAGGGCCAAAAACAGCAUGCUCAGUUCCUGGUAAUUCCUUAAAAACAGGCUUCUAUCAGACCUGGCUCUAAAAAAACAUUCACUCAGGCUGGAUCCAGGUUUGGGGCCCUGAG